RNAcentral lists this ribosomal RNA (235 nucleotides) under uncultured bacterium. Its description in RNAcentral is "partial 16S ribosomal RNA". It matches the Rfam family "Bacterial small subunit ribosomal RNA", at positions 96 to 334 of the family's 1533-position model. The record is from RNAcentral.
UGGCGAACGGGUGAGUAAUACAUCGGAACGUACCCAAUAGUAGGGGAUAGCCCGGCGAAAGCCGGAUUAAUACCGUAUAAGACCUGAGGGUGAAAGCGGGGGAUCGUAAGACCUCGCGCUACCGGAGCGGCCGAUGUCAGAUUAGCUUGUUGGUGGGGUAAAAGCCUACCAAGGCAACGAUCUGUAGCUGGUCUGAGAGGACGACCAGCCACACUGGGACUGAGACACGGCCCAG